RNAcentral lists this ribosomal RNA (424 nucleotides) under uncultured prokaryote. RNAcentral describes it as "bacterial SSU rRNA". It matches the Rfam family "Bacterial small subunit ribosomal RNA", at positions 355 to 796 of the family's 1533-position model. The record is from RNAcentral.
CAAGGAAUUUUCCCCAAUGGGCGCAAGCCUGAGGGAGCAACGCCGCGUGCAGGACGACGGCCUUCGGGUUGUAAACUGCUUUUGCGUGGGACGAUAACGACGGUACCACGCGAAUCAGCCCCGGCUAACUCUGUGCCAGCAGCCGCGGUAAUACAGAGGGGGUUAGCGUUGUUCGGAAUUACUGGGCGUAAAGCGCGCGUAGGCGGAUUGGAAAGUUGGGGGUGAAAUCCCGGGGCUCAACCCCGGAACUGCCUCCAAAACUAUCAAUCUAGAGUUCGAGAGAGGUGAGUGGAAUUCCGAGUGUAGAGGUGAAAUUCGUAGAUAUUCGGAGGAACACCAGUGGCGAAGGCGGCUCACUGGCUCGAUACUGACGCUGAGGUGCGAAAGUGUGGGGAGCAAACAGGAUUAGAUACCCCCGUAGUCC